Molecule: ribosomal RNA, 447 nt
Filed under: uncultured bacterium
Lineage: Bacteria
Description: bacterial SSU rRNA
Rfam family: Bacterial small subunit ribosomal RNA
Source: RNAcentral
UGGGGAAUAUUGGACAAUGGGCGAAAGCCUGACCCAGCAACGCCGCGUGAAGGAUGAAGUAUUUCGGUAUGUAAACUUCGAAAGAAUAGGAAGAAUAAAUGACGGUACUAUUUAUAAGGUCCGGCUAACUACGUGCCAGCAGCCGCGGUAAUACGUAGGGACCAAGCGUUGUUCGGAUUUACUGGGCGUAAAGGGCGCGUAGGCGGCAAUUCAAGUCAUCUGUGAAAUCUCCGGGCUUAACUCGGAACGGUCAAGUGAUACUGCUGUGCUAGAGUACAGAAGGGGCAAUCGGAAUUCUUGGUGUAGCGGUGAAAUGCGUAGAUAUCAAGAGGAACACCUGAGGUGAAGACGGGUUGCUGGGCUGAUACUGACGCUGAGGCGCGAAAGCUAGGGUAGCAAACGGGAUUAGAUACCCAGGUAGUCCCUGAGCGGGCUGGCAAGGCGCAU